RNAcentral lists this long non-coding RNA (1287 nucleotides) under Manihot esculenta (cassava). RNAcentral describes it as "long non-coding RNA (MESC_LNC004977)". Lineage: Eukaryota; Viridiplantae; Streptophyta; Magnoliopsida; Malpighiales; Euphorbiaceae. The record is from RNAcentral.
GACCCUGAAAAGAAAUGCAGAGAAAUGGGACAGAAAAUUCUUGUCAAUAUUAAGAUGUCCAAAUACCCAAUUAGCAAAACGUUAAUUUCAUUACUAUAUGAUAUCGCGCGAAUAAUUUCCUUCGUACAACAAUGUAGAAGUAAUACAAAGUUGGGAGACAUAUCAUGAGCGAGACAAGAGAUAGUGCUGUGACUGUAACUGUGUAAUAAAGGUUGAAGCAUUUUGAAGGUGACUCGUGAAUCAUUUAACCUACAAUUUGCCACUCUCCUUUGGACCACAGUGCAUGGAUUUGCAUGCAUGUACACUCCACCAUGCGAGUUCCCUUUCUAGUCAAUUUGACCUUCGACUUUUCCUUAAAAGUAGUACAAUAAAUUCCAUUCUUUUCUAUUCUAUUCAUUUAUGCCUCUGCUUACUUUUAACUGUAAAGUGCCACUCUUGGAAAGAUCAUACAACUUUGAAAUAGAGAUGACGAAUCUCCAGUCGUCUGAUGAGCUUGUUCUAUCUCUGACAUUGAAUCCUUAAUGAGACAGCCUGACAGGGGCGGGAUUGCAAAAUCUAGCCUUUCUCAUGCCAUUGGCCGUUGCCAUUAUCUGCUCUUGGAAGAAUGGCAACCCACCUAAAAAGAUAAGGUUUUUACAGAAGUAAAUCUUUGUAUGAUUACGGUUUUGGGAUUUGGAUUAAUCACUUUGAAGUGUUCGGAUAUUUUAAGAAAAUUAGGAGAAAAGAAAGGUAAUAGCCAUGCAUGACGAAGAAAGCAUGCAUGAUUAAUAUAGACAUUGAAAUGUCGGUUUCUUUCUUUCUUUCUUUCUUUCUUUCUUUUCUUUCCCUUGAAAGAAAUUUCCAUUAGCUAUAGGAUUAGUUAGGAUUAGUGGGGCUGGAAAUGCUAAGGGAAUCUUGGCAGCAAAAAUAUUUUCAUCUGAAAAAAGUUAAUUUAUUUAAAAAAAAAUAAACUAUCAAUCAUAUCAACCCUAUGAAAUAUCAACUAUUAAAUUAUCCUAUAAUUGAGGAUUGAUUACCUUUUGGAGUUCACCAAUGGACAUGUAUAGGGGAAAUGAUUGUGUGUUUUGACAGUGUCGGAGCCAGGAGCUUCCCUUUGGUAGGGUACCGGUUGCGCGCGUCACCACCGGAUGCGCCGCUGCGGCACCUUCAUCCCCCUUCAAAGCAUUUUUUGGUCGCCGGUACGGCACGUGCCCCUUGCCGUACCUUCUCUCCACCCCUAGUUUUGAGCUUUGAAUUAAAGGAUAUAACUAAAAGAAGAUAAUUAAAAUGUUGGUUCUUUGAUUUGUG